RNAcentral lists this non-coding RNA (24 nucleotides) under Cricetulus griseus (Chinese hamster). The record is from RNAcentral. Lineage: Eukaryota; Metazoa; Chordata; Mammalia; Rodentia; Cricetidae.
UUGGAAGUGGAAAGUUGGAAGACA